RNAcentral lists this ribosomal RNA (253 nucleotides) under uncultured bacterium. RNAcentral's name for it is "partial 16S ribosomal RNA". It matches the Rfam family "Bacterial small subunit ribosomal RNA", at positions 524 to 776 of the family's 1533-position model. The record is from RNAcentral.
UACGUAGGGUGCAAGCGUUAAUCGGAAUUACUGGGCGUAAAGCGUGCGCAGGCGGUUUUGUAAGCCAGAUGUGAAAUCCCCGAGCUUAACUUGGGAACUGCAUUUGGGACUGCAAGGCUAGAGUACGGCAGAGGGGGGUAGAAUUCCUGGUGUAGCAGUGAAAUGCGUAGAUAUCAGGAGGAAUACCGAUGGCGAAGGCAGCCCCCUGGGUCGAUACUGACGCUCAUGCACGAAAGCGUGGGGAGCAAACAGG